AACGAACGCUGGCGGCAGGCCUAACACAUGCAAGUCGAACGAGAAGCCACCUUCGGGUGGUGGACAGUGGCAGACGGGUGAGUAACGCGUGGGAACGUGCCUUUCGGUUCGGGAUAACCCAGGGAAACUUGGGCUAAUACCGGAUACGCCCUCCGGGGAAAGAUUCAUUGCCGAAAGAUCGGCCCGCGUCGGAUUAGCUAGUUGGUGGGGUAAAAGCCUACCAAGGCGACGAUCCGUAGCUGGUCUGAGAGGANGACCAGCCACACUGGGACUGAGACACGGCCCAGACUCCUACGGGAGGCAGCAGUGGGGAAUAUUGGACAAUGGGCGCAAGCCUGAUCCAGCCAUGCCGCGUGGGUGAAG
This 363-nucleotide ribosomal RNA is filed under the name uncultured bacterium. RNAcentral describes it as "bacterial SSU rRNA". It matches the Rfam family "Bacterial small subunit ribosomal RNA", at positions 29 to 410 of the family's 1533-position model. The record is from RNAcentral.